This is a small nuclear RNA of Zalophus californianus (California sea lion), 103 nucleotides long. The record is from Ensembl. Lineage: Eukaryota; Metazoa; Chordata; Mammalia; Carnivora; Otariidae.
UUGCUUCGGCAGCACAUUUACAAAAAUUAGAACGAUACAGAGAAGAUUAGCCUGGCCCCUGCACAAGGAUGGCACGCAAAUCUGUGAAAACCAUACAUCAUUU